This 442-nucleotide ribosomal RNA is filed under the name uncultured soil bacterium. RNAcentral describes it as "bacterial SSU rRNA". It matches the Rfam family "Bacterial small subunit ribosomal RNA", at positions 26 to 518 of the family's 1533-position model. The record is from RNAcentral.
AGAACGAACGCUGGCGGCAUGCCUAACACAUGCAAGUCGAACGAGACCUUCGGGUCUAGUGGCGCACGGGUGCGUAACGCGUGGGAACCUGCCUUUAGGUUCGGAAUAACUCCUCGAAAGGGGUGCUAAUACCGAAUAAUGUCUUCGGACCAAAGAUUUAUCGCCUUUAGAUGGGCCCGCGUUGGAUUAGCUAGUUGGUGGGGUAAAGGCCUACCAAGGCGACGAUCCAUAGCUGGUCUUAGAGGAUGAUCAGCCACACUGGGACUGAGACACGGCCCAGACUCCUACGGGAGGCAGCAGUGGGGAAUAUUGGACAAUGGGCGAAAGCCUGAUCCAGCAAUGCCGCGUGAGUGAUGAAGGCCUUAGGGUGUAAAGCUCUUUUACCCGGAUGAUAAUGACAGUACGGAGAAUAAGCUCCGGCUAACUCCGUGCCAGCAGCCGC